GUGUAGCUCAGUUGGCCGAGCGCUUGCCUAGCAUGCAUGAGACCCUGGGUUCAAUCCCCAGCAC
Molecule: transfer RNA, 64 nt
Filed under: Mus musculus (house mouse)
Lineage: Eukaryota; Metazoa; Chordata; Mammalia; Rodentia; Muridae
Rfam family: tRNA
About the family: Transfer RNA (tRNA) molecules are approximately 80 nucleotides in length.
Source: Rfam by way of RNAcentral